Molecule: ribosomal RNA, 482 nt
Filed under: uncultured bacterium
Lineage: Bacteria
Description: bacterial SSU rRNA
Rfam family: Bacterial small subunit ribosomal RNA
Source: RNAcentral
UUGAACGCUAGCAAUAUGCUUAACACAUGCAAGUCGAACGGUAGCAGAUCAUUUACGUGAUGCUGACGAGUGGCGAACGGGUGAGUAAUGCGUAGAAAUUUACCUAAUUGAGUGGGAUAGUUUGUGGAGACACUUAAUAAUACCACAUAAUUUUUUUUAAAGAAAGCAAAGGAUCUUUUGACUUUGCGCAUUUAGAUAAGUCUACGUCGGAUUAGUUUGUUGGUGAGGUAAAUGCUUACCAAGACGAUGAUCCGUAGCUGGUCUGAGAGGAUGAUCAGCCACACUGGGACUGAAACACGGCCCAGACUUUUACGAAAGGCAGCAGUGGGGAAUUUUAGACAAUGGGCGAAAGCCUGAUCUAGCAAUAUUGCGUGUGCGAUGAAGGCCUGUGGGUUGUAAAGCACUUUCAGUAAGGAAAAAUCUUUUUAUACUAAUAAUAUAAUUUGUUGAUGAAUUACAAAAGAAGCACCGGCUAACUCUGU